Molecule: long non-coding RNA, 6772 nt
Filed under: Homo sapiens (human)
Lineage: Eukaryota; Metazoa; Chordata; Mammalia; Primates; Hominidae
Description: HSALNT0071011
Source: RNAcentral
CAGGGACAUAGUUAGGAUGUAAAUGUUGUAUCACAUAUAAUCCAUCAACUCCAGCAUUUUGAUUCCUUAUAUACUUCUUUAUAUCUUAUCAUGAUAUUUCUUGAAUUUCAACUUCAUAUUUAAUGUGCCACUAAUGAUUUCCAGAUAAAGCCCAUGAAAUGAAACAGCAGUUAAAAUCACUCUUAAUUUCUCAAGCUAACACAUAUAUUCAUAAAUUUCUGCAAGCCCAAUAUAUUUAUUCUAAUAUACGAUUAUUUCAUUCUCCAUCUAGCCACUUCAAAAUAUCCACACACAAUUCCUAGAUUCCUGAUCCUAAUAAAUUUGGAGAGAGAUUAUGUCUUGUACUUAUGUUGGUAUAUAAACCAUUCUUUAUAAAUUGGGCCUUCUGAUUUCUCUCCUGGAACAUCCUGAAUAUGUCAUCGUUUAUAGAUCUGGUGGAAAUGAAGGAAGAUAGGAAAGGGAUAUUGGGAAAUCUGCAUCCCGAUUGUGUUAGGGUUUGUAGAUAAUUUAAUAAGAUAUAGAUAGACAUAGAUAAAUAGGUAUGUAGAUAUGUAGAAAGAGAUUUAUUAUACAAUACUGGCUGACAGUAUUUUUUUUUUCUUUUUGAGAUGGAGUCUCGCACUGUCACCUGCACUGGAGUGCAGUGGUGUGAUCUCAGCUCACCGCGAGCUCCGCCUCCUGGGUUCAAGUCAUCCUCUCGCUCCAGCCUCCCACGUAGCUGGGACUACAGGUGCCUGCCACGCUAAUUUUUUGUGUUUUUAGUAGAAAUGGGGUUUCACCAUGUAGGCCAAGCUGGUCUCGAACUCCUGACCUCAUGAUUCAUCCACCAUGGCCUCUCAAAGUGCUGGAAUUACAGGUGUGAGUCACCGUGCCCAGUUGCCAUUGAUACUCUUAACAAAGCAUAUCAACUUUCCCAAGUUCUUCUUUGGAGCUGUUUGGUGCUUUAUUUAUCCUGUUAUAUGAGUAUAAUUGUGUGUUAAUAUUUUUUUCUGAUUAAUGAUUGGCGACUUUGUCUCUGAACCUUUAUUUUAGAAGUAUGUACUUAUGAAUCUUUAAAUUUCUAACACCUAGCUAAGUAGCUGUCUUCAUUAUACUUGUGAAAUAAAUGUUAACUGAAUUAGAGAUUGAUUGAACAGAUAGGUAAAUAAAUGAACAUAGAAUUCCUCAGGCUGCCAUCUUAAACAUUUAGUUUUUCAGGUUUGGACAAUAUUUCUCUCUGGGUUUUCCUCCUUUUUCUUAUUUCUUGUAUUCUAUUCUUUGUCUCCUGCUGUCUUCCAACACACUGUAGUGUUUUUGACCAACCUUGGAUUAUCUUAUUUUCUACAUAUUCAGGUUCUGUAUUUAUAAAGUCCUUGUUUAUAUUUAUUCAUUAAUUUUAAGAGGAUUAUGAACUUUUCAAAGAUAAUUGUCAUUUAUGUUAGUACUUUGAAUUUUUUCCAGUGCCUAGUAUUGAGGUAGAGGCCAAAUUUAAUCUACCAUUGAUUUUAAUGAAGCCAUAUAUGUGCCUUGGAGCAGUGUCUAUUCAUCUAGGGUGAAGAAUCAAAAUCCAUCUUGUAAAUUUUCUCUAAGGAAAGGCAAGCGUGGAGCUACAGUGUCUUCAAUCUGUUUGGGAAAUGCUAGGCGUAUAUGAUACUAUUGCUCGCACAGCAUAGUGCACAAGUGAAUUUUAGUGUUUGCUAGACAACGUGUGCUUAGCGGAUGGAUCACAUGGAAAUGAGGACAAGUGGCAUCUAGGAGCCGAGGGCUGCAGCUGUCAACAAGAAAAUGAAGUCCUUUAUCCUGCAACUAUAAAGAAAUGAACUCUCCCAACAAUCUGAAGGAGUUUCCAAUGAGAUUCUUCCCCCAACCCUCCAGAUGAGAACUCAGUCUAGCUGAUACCUCAAGAUGGCAACAUAGUCUGCUUUGUAGUAACAUGAGGAGAGAACCUAGUCACAUCAGCCUGGGUUUCUAGUAGCAGUUUAUUAUAUAUUUGAUUAUUUUAAAUUAUUCUAGAUUCUUUGGGAAUUGUCUCCAUAUAUGUAGUGUGUGUGUGGGUGUGUGUACCCUAUUUUUGGAAACCUUAAUAUAUUCAUAAAUCUUUUUCUGUAACUUGAUUUAAUUAUGUUCAUAAUAUAUGCUGUGUAUUAUGCCUUCUCAGCUCACGUAAACUCUAUGUAGAGAAACAGUGUUGUGUAAUGGUUAACAGUGUAGCAAACGUAGCCAGACAGCCUGAUUCAAGUCUCAGCUCUGACACCUCCAUGCUGUGCAACUUUGGGCAGUUCAUUUUUCUAGCAUUGAUUUUCCCUUCUGAAGCAUAGAGGCAAUAAGAUUGUUGUGAGAAUUCAAUGAGUCAAGACCUUUGCAAACACCAAGAAUAAUUCCUGCCAUACAGCAGGCUCUCAGAAAUGUUAGCAAAUAGCCUUAUUUCUUUUAAAUUUCAAACUGUACAAACAACAUGCAAAUACAUUCUCCUGUUAUAAGAAAGGAAAAUUGACACAUAAACAUAUAAAAUAUGAAAUCACUGUCUUUAUUCUACUCAUAAUCAUAUUCUCUUACCUGCCUCAGUAGCAUAAUUUAUGAAUUUUUAUAGCUUUAAAGUUUGCUAUGUUGCACCAUAUAAAAGUAUUUCCUAUGUAUUUGACAUUUUUGCAUAUUUUUAUAUAUUUCUAUGAUGACAUUCUUCAAUGUGUGUAAUCAGCUCGCCAAAUUCUAUCAGAUAUGCCAUGUGAAGGUUUUAAAAUUUCAUUUAAUUAUCAGAUUAAUUUGAGGAGUAUAGUCAUUUUAAUAGUAAUGGUUUUACAUUGAUUUUAAUUUUUACACAAUAGACAUAUUGAGAGAUACUUAAAGGAUAAAAAAAGUAAGCAAAAGUAAUUGUUGAUGAGCUAAUAAUUGACAUUUUCAAAUGCCUUCAAACUAGAACUAGCAAAUAAUUCAUAAUGAUAUUGUAGUCAUUUCUUUUAGUUACUAAGAAAUCCAUGUGAUAUAUAUGUUUUAAAAUCAACAUCUUCAUCUUGAAUUACAAUUAUAAGGCAAUUGGGAAACUAGUGUUAGAAACCUAUGGUAUGUUUAUCUCUAAUUAGAAAAAGAAAAACACCAUUACAACAAUUGUUUUCAUUAAUUAAAUUUUAGAAUGACUAAACUUCAAUAUGUUGAUUUUAGAACAACAAAUAAAAAUAAUGGAAAACAUAAAAUAUUAUACAGGAUUUCCACUAGAAUUUUAAUUAUUGUGAUUAUAUAAUGUGCCUGUUAUUUGGCUAGAGUUUAAGCAAAAACAAAAUCUUCAAUUUGAAAUCCUUUAAAUUUAGCAUUCCCUUGGUUAGAAAAUUUUCCAAUUGAUUAAGAUAAGUUUUAGUCUCCUAUUUAAGAAAAUUGCUCUUUUAAUAUGUCUUUAUCUUCCCAUUUGUAUUCAUCACAACAAAGCAAGGAAGAUUGUUCAGUGUGAAAUAAACACUAUUAGCACUCAUACAGUUUAACAAAGAAUAAGCUGUAAGUUACACAUACACCUAUGUCUGAUACUAGUACUAACAAGUGGUGCUGUGAACUUUGGCAAGCUGACAGGCUUCUUGUGAACAAUUUCAGGCAAUUGAAAGGAUAAUGGUACAGCUGAUAGCUUGACUUUCAGUAAUACAAACAAUGACUGGACCAUGAAGAGCACCACAUAGAAGUUAAUACAUGCAAAAUCCCCAGCAUAUAGUAAGCACUCAGUAAGAAUUAGCUGGCCAGGUUUGGUGAGUCACGCCUGUAAUCCCAGGAUGUUGGGAGGCCGAGGCGGGUGGAUAACCUGAGGUCAGAAGUUCAAGAUGAGGCAGGCCAAGAUGGUGAAAGCCCAUCUCUACUAAAAACUACAAAAAUUAACCGGGUGAGGUGGCAGGUGCCUGUAAUCCCAGCUACUCGGGAGGCUGAGGCAGGAGAAUCGCUUGAACCCAGGGGGCGGAGGUUGCAGUGGGCCAAGAUCACACCACUGCACUCCAGGCUGGGCGACAAGAGCGAAACUCCAUCUCAAAAAAAAAAAAAAAAAAAAAAAAAGAGCCGGCAUUAGUUGCAAACAUUAGCAAUCCCUGAAAAGCAUGGGCCCAACCUGGAGGUAACUAGAAGAUUGAAUGCGAUUUUAUUCUUGAUAAAAAGAAGCAAACAGUUUAAAGUAUAGUUAUAAAAUAAUAAACCACCAGUCAACAUCAACAGAACAACCCAAAUUAUUUUCAUUUCUUUUUGAAUGCUUGAUCUUUAUAUUUUGAUAAAAAAUUAACAUUUUACAAAUUUAGUUGAUUGAUAAUAAAUGCUAACACCAGUGAAAAAUAUGCUUAUGUAUUAUAACACAUCAAUUUGAAACCUCAACUGACUCUACUACUGUAUGUUAAAUUAUAGUCCAAACAAUUUUUGGGAAAGCCUGUCCCUGCUAAUUGUACCUGUCAAGCAACCAUUAAGUAAAUAAUGUGAUCUUCUAACUAAGGAGCUGUCUCAAACUUUUCUAUCAGUCUAAGGGGCAGGUACAUUGUGUAUACCUUUUAUUUACCAUUUGCUAAAUAACAACAAAAAAGAAAUAAAUAAAUAAAGUCCAAGCCCAGAUAAUAAAGCACAUGGGUCUGUACGUAACUAUCAAUACAGACUAUUAGCUCUUUAUUUACUUUUUAAGGCAAGGUCAAGAGGAGAAAAUAGAAAAUGUUAAUAUAUUUUCACUGGGCACAGUGGCUCAUUCCUGUAAUCCCAAUGCGUUGGGAGGCCGGUGCGAGCAGACCGCUUGAGCCCAGUAGUUCGAGAUUAGCCUGGGCCACAUGGUGAAAACGUAUCUCUACAAAAAAUACAAAUAUAUAUAUACACAUAGACAAAUUAGCCAGGCAUGUUGGUGCAUGCCUGUAGUCCCAGCUACACUGGAGGCUGAGGUGGGAGGAUUACUUGACCUGGAGAGGAGAAGGUUACACUAAGCUCUGAUUGCACCACUCCAGCCUGGCCAACAGAGUGAGACUUCGUCUCAAAAUAAAUAAAUAAAUUUUAUUUUGUUUUCAAUGUGACACUUUAUCUUCCAGUUCCUCUCAAAGUUCAGCUGUACCUUGUCCUUUGAAAUCAGUGAUUUUCAAAUUCCAUCAUUACUUUAGCAUAGCAUAUAAAUUUUCAAUCAGAGAUUAAUAGAAAAAUCUUAAUUAUUAAAAAACAAUUCCUAUCAACAUAAAAUACUGAAUGUGAAAGCACUAAGAAAAAUUUCUCUACAUUAUUCAUUUCUGUUUUAUUUCAAUUUAACUUUUAAUGAUGGAUUUUCAAAGGGGAAUUAAACAUCCAUAUUGAUAUUCUUAAAAUUUUUCCAUAGACAUGAUUUUGUUUCAGACACAUAAAAUUUGAUAAAUGAAAUAAGAUAACAUCGUAAAUAUGCUAAGAAAAAAGAAGUCACCUUGGGAAUACAGUGAUUUGCAUUCUACCAUAAAUAUACUCCCAAAUACUCAAAGAGUUUAACUUUCAAAUACAUUGCAAAACACAGAAAUCUGUAUACUCAUUCUAAUAUUUAAUACCAAUCUUAAGAAAUGAGAUAAGGCAAAAACCCAUCUCUGCAAAAAAUACAAAAAAAAUAAUCUGGGUGUGGUAAUGAACACUUAUAAUUUCAGCUACAGGGAGACUGAGCUGGGAGGAUUGCUUGAGCCAAGGAAGUCAAGUCUGCAGUCAACAGUGAUUGUGCCAGUGCACGCCAGCCUGGGUGACAGAACAAGAUCCUGUCUCUCUCCAUAUAUAUAUAUAUGUAUGUAUGUAUAUAUGUAUAUAUAUGUAUGUAUGUAUAUAUAUGUAUAUGUAAAGGAAUUUUAUACAUAUAAAUGCACAUAUAUGCAUAAAGGAAUUUUAUACUUAUCUUUUCAAUUGAAAUAUAACAUCUAUAUAUUAAAAUGAAUAAAUAGUAAGCAUCAAAUACUACUUGUACUUUUAAAAAGAAUAUUGUGGAAGUAUCAACUAUAUCAAGAUGUAAAAUAUUACGCCUCCAGAAUCUUCCCUUAUGCCUCUACUCAGUCACUGGGCCUCUCAGAAAUGUAAUCAGUAUUCUGGCAUCUAACACCAUAAUAGACUCUGCUUGUUUUUGAAUGUCAUCAGUGCGCAAUAUUCUAUUUGUAAAUUUUUUAACGAAUCAAGAUCUAUGAGGUUUAUCUGUGUUGUACGUAGUCGCAGGUUGUUAUUUCUUAUUGCUGUAUAGUAUUCAAUUGUGAGAAUAAUUAGAAUUUAUGUAUCCAUCCCACUUUGUCAUUUUAGUGUUGUGGUAAUUUUGAUCAUUUAUACUUUAGGUGCCAUGAAUAUUGCUUCUUUAAAUAUUCUUAUCUUUGGUGACAUAUAUCAAGAUUUUUCUGGGUAUAUAUCUAGGAAUUCAAUUGAUGAGUCAUAAGUAUACAUAUGUUGGUGGAUACUACUAAAGAAUUUCAAAGUGGUUGUAAAAAUGUAUGCUUUCACCAGAAGUAUAUGAGAGUUUCUGUUACUGUAUAUUCCUACUAACACUUGGUAUUUCAUUUUUAUUUAAUUUUAGCCAUUCAAAUAUUGUUACAAUAAUAUUUCAUUGUGACUUUGUGUUGAGUAAAUACGUUGAGCAUAUUUUCUGAAGGUUAAUUUUAGAUAACAUCUAAAAAAUGACUGUGCAAUUCAUUUAUUCCUUUUGAUCUUUGAUAGUCUAUAUUUUCAUUAUUGAUUUAUAGUUAUUCUUUAUGUUUAUAUGUCUUCUUUUGGUUAUUUGUACUGCAAAUAUCUUGUCCUAGUCUUUGGAUUUCCACUUAUUCUUUGGAAAUUGUCUUUUGAUGAACAGAUUUUUUAAAAUUUUAAUAAAGUCUAA